CCUACGGGGGGCAGCAGUGAGGAAUAUUUGUCAAUGGGCGCGAGCCUGAACCAGCCACGUAGCGUGAAGGAUGACUGCCCUCCGGGUUGUAAACUUCUUUUAUAAAGGAAUAAAGUGAGGCUCGUGAGCCUCUUUGUAUGUACUUUAUCAGUAAAGGUAGGCUAACUUCGUGCCAGCCCCCGCGGUAAUACGGAGGAUCCGGGCGUUAUCCGGAUUUAUAGGGUUUAAAGGGAGCGUAGGGGGGAUGUUAAGUCAGUUGUGAAAUUUUGCGGCUCAACCGUAGAAUUGCAAUUGAUACUGGCAGCCUGGAGUGCAGUAGAGGAUGGCGGAAUUCGUGGUGUAGCGGUGAAAUGCUUAGAUAUCAUGAAGAACUCCGAUUGCGAAGGCA
RNAcentral lists this ribosomal RNA (388 nucleotides) under uncultured bacterium. RNAcentral's name for it is "partial 16S ribosomal RNA". It matches the Rfam family "Bacterial small subunit ribosomal RNA", at positions 338 to 723 of the family's 1533-position model. The record is from RNAcentral.